This is a long non-coding RNA of Cyprinus carpio (common carp), 904 nucleotides long. The record is from Ensembl. NCBI's taxonomy places the organism in Eukaryota, Metazoa, Chordata, Actinopteri, Cypriniformes, Cyprinidae.
AUGUUUGUCUUUUCUGUUUUAAGUAUUGAUUGCCAUCUAGUCCUGAUUGCAGAGUUAAGCUCCAGCCCCAAUCCUGUACUGUUGAAGCAGCUGAUCAAGGUCUUCAUGAUCACCACACACUUCAGACAGGUGUGUGGACAGGCUGGAGAUAAACUCUGCAGGAUGCUGGUCCUCCAGAACACCACUGAUUUUGUGUCAGAUGCAGAUAAAGAGUCACCAGGAACAGGUCACUGCAUCUUUUGUCAUGUAGAUGCUGGAACGAAAAGCAGCCAGGCCACAGCAUCUAAAAUGGAGACUUCUAUUAAAGUGGCUCCGUAACGUAAGAGACUUGGACAGUGGAAGGAGCAGAAGAACCAGAAGAUCAGAGAUCAGGCAGAGCUCUACUGGUGCCUCUUAGGGGAUUGAUUUAUCUAUAAUUAUCUAUAAUAUCUACUUAAUUUUCUGAUGUAGUUAUAAUUGGUCAUUGUUCUGUUUUAUAUAUCUAUUCAAUACAUUCUAGUGUUAAAUAGUUUGGGGUCAGAAAGUUUUUUUUUUUUCUUUAAGAUAUUACUUGUAUUCAGCAAGGGUGCGUUAAACUGAUAAAAAAAAAUGCUGCUCUUUUAAAAGCUCUAUUCAAAAUAACCUGAAAAAAAUAUAUUACUGUUUCCAAAAAUGAAGCAGCACAACUGUUUUUGAGAUGAUAAAAAAAAAAUGUUUAUUGAGCACCAAAACAGAAUAUUUGAAUAAUUUAUUUUGGAUUGUAUGACACAGAAGACUGGAGUAAUGGCUGCUGAAAAUUAAACAUAGUAAAACAGUUUUUUUUUUUUUUUUUUGUUAAUUAAAACAGUUAUUUAAAAUUGUAAUAUUUCAUAAUGUUACUGCUUUAACUGUAUUUCUUAUCAAAUAAAUGUAGUUUUGGUGAGCA